GGAGCUACAGAAACUGGAUUUUGGGUCGGAUAAGACAAACUUCUUCACAGACAAACUUCUCCACAGAAAUCUGAAACUAAAUUUGUAAAAACAGCAAAUACAAUUAAGGGAACCAUGUACAUGUGACCAUUACGUAUUUAAAUAAACAUUGUCAUAAAACUAACCAUAAAAAAAAAAAAUCAAAAAACAGAAAUUUUAAAAUCGAAACAUUUGAAAACCCACACAAUCAACAUCCCAAUCUAUGGUGUACAUCCUAUACUUCAAACGAAGGCGGUUGAUAGUUCUGUAAAAUUAUGUGGAUGGGUUACGGCUCAAAGGUCCUACAAAAAAAAGAAGCAAAACACCAUGUUAGAAAUAUUAACGGAAAAACAUGUUGUACAAAAGAAACGAAAAUAGGGAAGGCAUCCUAAUGAUGACAGAUGUUAUAUACCUGUGAGGCAAUGGUAGGAGAGCAAUGCACCGAGAGGACGAU
Molecule: long non-coding RNA, 472 nt
Filed under: Medicago truncatula (barrel medic)
Lineage: Eukaryota; Viridiplantae; Streptophyta; Magnoliopsida; Fabales; Fabaceae
Description: long non-coding RNA (MTRU_LNC002460)
Source: RNAcentral